RNAcentral lists this ribosomal RNA (460 nucleotides) under uncultured bacterium. RNAcentral describes it as "partial 16S ribosomal RNA". It matches the Rfam family "Bacterial small subunit ribosomal RNA", at positions 338 to 795 of the family's 1533-position model. The record is from RNAcentral.
CCUACGGGUGGCUGCAGUGAGGAAUAUUGGUCAAUGGGCGAGAGCCUGAACCAGCCAAGUCGCGUGAAGGAUGACGGCCCUACGGGUUGUAAACUUCUUUUGUCAGGGAGCAAUUGAGUCCACGUGUGGUCUUAGCGAGAGUACCUGAAGAAAAAGCAUCGGCUAACUCCGUGCCAGCAGCCGCGGUAAUACGGAGGAUGCGAGCGUUAUCCGGAUUUAUUGGGUUUAAAGGGUGCGCAGGCGGAAUGUCAAGUCAGCGGUAAAAUUUCGGGGCUCAACCCCGUCGUGCCGUUGAAACUGGCGUUCUUGAGUGAGCGAGAAGUAUGCGGAAUGCGUGGUGUAGCGGUGAAAUGCAUAGAUAUCACGCAGAACUCCGAUUGCGAAGGCAGCAUACCGGCGCUCAACUGACGCUCAUGCACGAAAGCGUGGGUAGCGAACAGGAUUAGAUACCCGGGUAGUC